RNAcentral lists this ribosomal RNA (492 nucleotides) under uncultured bacterium. Its description in RNAcentral is "partial 16S ribosomal RNA". It matches the Rfam family "Bacterial small subunit ribosomal RNA", at positions 29 to 507 of the family's 1533-position model. The record is from RNAcentral.
AGUGAACGCUGGCGGUAGGCCUAACACAUGCAAGUCGAACGGCAGCACAGUAAGAGCUUGCUCUUACGGGUGGCGAGUGGCGGGCGGGUGAGGAAUACAUCGGAAUCUACUUUUUCGUGGGGGAUAACGUAGGGAAACUUACGCUAAUACCGCAUACGACCUACGGGUGAAAGCAGGGGAUCUUCGGACCUUGCGCGAUUGAAUGAGCCGAUGUCGGAUUAGCUAGUUGGCGGGGUAAAGGCCCACCAAGGCGACGAUCCGUAGCUGGUUUGAGAGGAUGAUCAGCCACACUGGAACUGAGACACGGUCCAGACUCCUACGGGAGGCAGCAGUGGGGAAUAUUGGACAAUGGGCGCAAGCCCGAUCCAGCCAUACCGCGUGGGUGAAGAAGGCCUUCGGGUUGUAAAGCCCUUUUGUCGGGAAAGAAAAGCAGCAGGUUAAUACCCCGCUGUUCUGACGGUACCCAAAGAAUAAGCACCGGCUAACUUCGUG